RNAcentral lists this ribosomal RNA (1281 nucleotides) under Triticum aestivum (bread wheat). Its description in RNAcentral is "partial small subunit ribosomal RNA". Lineage: Eukaryota; Viridiplantae; Streptophyta; Magnoliopsida; Poales; Poaceae. The record is from RNAcentral.
AUGCUUCCCCCAUUGCGGAUGAGGGGCCACACGAAGGCUGUGCAGAUGCAGUACGACGAGCACUACACUCCGUAUUUCAGGAGAGCACGGAUGUUGGGUUUCGUUCUUCAGUUGAAAAGGCAGCCGCCGACGCUCGUGCACUCGGCUCUUACGGCAUUGAUCGACCGGUGGCGCCCCGUGACGUACAGUUUUCAUCUCACUUGUGGUGAGAUGACAGUGACUCUCGAGGACUUCGGCAUGAUCACGGCCCUGCCCAUCGAGGGCCAUGCCCUGACCGGGCGAGUGGAGAGGGCCAACUGGCUGGAGAGGGUGAUCGCCCUGAUCGGCGACUGCCCUCCCAUGAAGGGGAAUAGAACAUUCGGUGUGCGGCUCAAGUGGCUCCUGGAGAACUGGUCCGUUUGCCCGCAAGAUGCCGAUCAGCGGACCGUGGAGCAGUACGCGAGGGCCUAUUUGUGGUACCUUCUGACGGAGGUCAUCUUUCCAGACUGCUCGGGGGAUUGCCGCCUAUGGAUGUAUCUCGGAUUCCUGGAGGACUGGGAUGCGGGGUACAGCUGGGGGUCCGCCGGCCUAGCUUACCUAUACCGCUCGCUGGAUGACGCGACGCAGAGGACCGAAGAUACCUCUGGCGUGUGUGGAUUUGUUUGGGCCCUUUCAAUUUGGAUGUGGGAGCGGAUACCGGUCGGCCGUCCAGAGAGAGUUCGCUCGCGUGCAUGGACGGAUUAUGGUGAAGAAGGUGAUAGUGCUCGCUACCCGACCGUCGCUUACGCUUGGGACAAGGUGAAGGUCUACACGGGCAAGGCCACUACCCUGUAUAAGCUCUUCAGCAACGAGCUGGACAACCUAUCAGAUUUCCAGGUGAACUGGUUUCCGUACCGUGACCGAGAAUGGGGGUUCGAGCUCAACUCGAUGUGCAAGGAGGAUCGGCUUGCCUGGCGGUGCAUUGUGCCCUUGAUAUGUGUGUAUGCCGUCGAGUGGCACUUACCACAGCGUGUGGCCACACAGUUUGGGAUCUUGCAACAUACCCCACCGGGUAAACCCACAGACACCGGCGGCUCCGACCUUCACUGGAAGAGUAGAAAGAAUUGUCAGUCCAUCACAGACUGGGGGCACGAGCACCAGGAGUACGUGAAAAUGUGGGACGAGAGAAGGUAUCACAAAGACAGCGAGAGGAGAGUGGUUCACUGGGACACCUACUGUGAACGCCACCUGAAGUGGUAUGACGAUGGUGUCAAGUACCAUGUACGCCUGAGGCCGCAGUGGACGGAACACGAUAUCGCCUAA